RNAcentral lists this long non-coding RNA (1059 nucleotides) under Homo sapiens (human). RNAcentral's name for it is "novel transcript, antisense to TRMT10B". The record is from RNAcentral. Lineage: Eukaryota; Metazoa; Chordata; Mammalia; Primates; Hominidae.
UUUUUUUUUUUUUUUUUUUUUUUUUUUUUUGAGGCGGAGUUGCACUCUUGUUGCUCAGGCUGGAGUGCAAUGGCACGAUCUCAGCUCACCGCAACCUGCACCUCCCAGAUUCAAGCAAUUCUCUUGCCUCAGCCUCCAGAUUAGCUGGGAUUACAGGCGCCUGCCACUAUGCCCUGCUAAUUUUUGUAUUUUUAGUAGAGACGGUGUUUCUCCAUGUUGGUCAGGCUGGUCUCGACCUCCCGACCUCAGGUGAUCUGCCCACCUCAGCCUCCCAAAGUGCUGGGAUUACAGGUGUGAGCCACCGUGCCCAGCUUUUUUUUUUGUUUUUGAGACAGAGUAUCACUGUCACCCAGGCUGGAGUGCAGUGGUGUGAUCUCGGCUCACUGCAACCUCCACUUCCCAGGUUCAAGUGGUUCUCAUGCCUCAGCCUCUGGAAUAAUUGGUAUUACAGGCGUGCACCACCACGCCUGACUGAUUUUUGUAUUUUAGUAGAGAUGGGGUUUCACCAUGUUGGCCAGGCUGGUUUCGAACUCCUAACCUCAGGUGAUCCACCCACCUCGGCCUCUGAAAGUGGAUUACAGGAUUACAGGUGUGAGCCACUGCACCUGGCCAAGGGGACAAUUUCAACUAUCUUUAACAUAGUUGGUGACGAAGAAAACAGAAUGCCUCUUAGUGGCCAGAAUAUAUGUCAUGACGUACAUGCAAUAAAGUCCACACACAUUAGUCACAGAGGAGACUGACUCAAAGGCCACUUAAACACAGUGCAAAGCAGCAGCACCAGAACUCACACACCCUGGAUGGGGGCCGUGUAAGAAGUACCUUGAUUGAUGGCCAGUAUCUCUGAAUGAUAGUUUUUCCCAUUCUGGUUUCUGACCAUGUAUUCCUGGAUUGGCAAGCGUGCGGUCUUGACAGAGUAUUCCCGGGCCUUUUGAAAUGUCACCUUCUGUAAAUAUAUAGUUAAAUAUUUUUCUUAUAAAAAUUAUACAUGAGUAUAUUCUCAAUGUAAUACAGCAUUAAAAAUAAGUAGCCUAUUGUGGAAUGGAAGAAACUGCAGAUAAU